This 48-nucleotide transfer RNA is filed under the name Candidatus Neomicrothrix parvicella RN1. Its description in RNAcentral is "Candidatus Microthrix parvicella RN1 tRNA". It matches the Rfam family "tRNA", at positions 18 to 64 of the family's 71-position model. From Rfam's summary of the family: Transfer RNA (tRNA) molecules are approximately 80 nucleotides in length. Their secondary structure includes four short double-helical elements and three loops (D, anti-codon, and T loops). The record is from Rfam by way of RNAcentral. Lineage: Bacteria; Bacillati; Actinomycetota; Acidimicrobiia; Acidimicrobiales; Microthrixaceae.
GUAGAUCGUCGGGCUCAUAACCCGAAGGUCGCAGGUUCAAAUCCUGCC